UCCACCCUUUUAUUCUUUGGCUCCACCCAUUUCUUUUGUUUUGAUCGGCCAAGAGGGAAGACGAACACAAGACAAAAGUUAGGGAAAAGAGAAAUUGGGGGUAAACCAUGGUCUAACCGGUUCAUCGAUCUUUUGCAUCACCGAUUGAGAACUGCCAGUGCCACCUUCUGAGUUCGUCGGGUUACUUUACUUAUGAUUUUGGUUACCUUCUUAAACCGCACAUCACUUGAUGCGGCUUCUGGUCAUAAAUCAGAUAAGUGUGUAAAGAAAUACAUUUGAUUUCCUUUUCUGUAUGUUCUUAAAUAGAUCUGUCAGCUGUUUAGCAUCCUAUAUCUUUCGUUCAGCUGAAGUUCUUUUCAGAUGUUGGUAACCUAAAAAGGUACUUACUUAAAGAAGGAUUGGAUUGUUUUUGUUGUUCAAACUUUGUAGAUUUGAGGAUGCAUAGCAGGUGCUUGACGAAUUGCUUCAAAGAGCCAGUAUCAGCGGCGUCUGCUUCUCUUUCUAUUCACCGCCGUAGACGUUUAAUCGCCGCCCGUUCUCCGAUUUGAGAUCUUUGAUUAAUUUGACCAGCUGAGCAUGGCAGAAGAGAUAGAUGUCACAACGAGGUGUUUGGUAGCUUCAGAAGUUGACAGUGAGCUACUGUAAUUGGGGUGGAAGUAGCAGGGGGAUUAGGGCAUUUAUGGAGUCGUAGUUGGCAACAUUUAAAGAAAGCAAUCCUCAGCUAGAGGUGGUUACGGAGCUUAACCGUGGUCAACAUCCAUUUCUGAAGGGAGCAUACAAGAACAAGAAUGAGCGGGUUGUAUCUGUGAUGAACAUGAGUCCAGAAGAUGUGCUGCUUUGUGCAACUAGGCUUAGAAAUUCACUUGGAAGAAACAUGGUGAAGCUCAAGACCAGACAUGUCACCAACACCCCAGCGUGUAAGGAACUUAGACAACAGACUUGCAGAUCUUAUCUGCAUCUGCUGCUACAUUUCUUUUAUAAAACUACAUGUAUUAACUCUCAUCUCAACUCUCAAUUUAACAUCAUUAACAAAAACUUAACCAGUUACCAGCUUCUCAAC
Molecule: long non-coding RNA, 1060 nt
Organism: Lactuca sativa (garden lettuce)
Lineage: Eukaryota; Viridiplantae; Streptophyta; Magnoliopsida; Asterales; Asteraceae
Source: RefSeq, a predicted model, not a curated record